Non-coding RNA from Parelaphostrongylus tenuis, 81 nucleotides. The record is from the annotation of a GenBank genome assembly. Lineage: Eukaryota; Metazoa; Nematoda; Chromadorea; Rhabditida; Metastrongylidae.
GUGGUGACCUUGGUGGUAUAGUGGUAGAGCACGCGCUCCCGGUAAGGGAUGAAACAUGGGUUCAAUUCCCACCGCACGACG